Molecule: ribosomal RNA, 301 nt
Filed under: uncultured bacterium
Lineage: Bacteria
Description: partial 16S ribosomal RNA
Rfam family: Bacterial small subunit ribosomal RNA
Source: RNAcentral
CAGCAGCCGCGGUAAAACGUAGGUGGCAAGCGUUGUCCGGAAUUAUUGGGCGUAAAGGGCUCGCAGGCGGUUUCUUAAGUCUGAUGUGAAAGCCCCCGGCUCAACCGGGGAGGGUCAUUGGAAACUGGGAAACUUGAGUGCAGAGGAGGAGAGUGGAAUUCCACGUGUAGCGGUGAAAUGCGUAGAGAUGUGGAGGAACACCAGUGGCGAAGGCGACUCUCUGGUCUGUAACUGACGCUGAGGAGCGAAAGCGUGGGGAGCGAACAGGAUUAGAUACCCCGGUAGUCCCUGUCUCUUAUAC